Molecule: transfer RNA, 72 nt
Filed under: Heliconius melpomene (postman butterfly)
Lineage: Eukaryota; Metazoa; Arthropoda; Insecta; Lepidoptera; Nymphalidae
Description: tRNA HMEL010262
Rfam family: tRNA
About the family: Transfer RNA (tRNA) molecules are approximately 80 nucleotides in length.
Source: RNAcentral
GAACGUAUGGUUUAGUGGUCAGAGCGCUUGGAUAGUUUCCAAGAGGCGGGGAUUCAAAUAUCGUUACGUCCA